This is an RNA transcript of Cannabis sativa, 1608 nucleotides long. It is a transcript of the gene named phosphoribosylformylglycinamidine cyclo-ligase, chloroplastic-like, with no coding region annotated. The transcript is spliced from 9 exons. The record is from RefSeq and is a predicted model, not a curated record. NCBI's taxonomy places the organism in Eukaryota, Viridiplantae, Streptophyta, Magnoliopsida, Rosales, Cannabaceae.
UAAGCCCUAGCUCUGUGUCUAUUCCCGCCUUCUUUGCUCCAGCUUUCCCGUCAUUCUCGGCUAAACUCUCACUCUAUCGCUCUUGGUCCAUAGCCAUAGCCAUAGCCAUAGCCAUGGCCACCACAAGCUUGAACUCAACUACAGAGCUUUCUAGGUCGUUGGCUGCUUCGAAUGGACCGUCUUCUCAGAGAAUCGACCGGAACCGGCGUUUCGUAUGCCGAUUGCCGUCUGUAUCUUUCUUCAAUAAGUUGUCGAAGCCUUCAAUGGAAGUUAAAAGAGUUACGGCAAGUGAAGCUUUGAGGAGCAGAGGAGGCAUAAUUUCUAUGUCGAAGAGUGAGAGUGGUGAUACUGGUGUUGGUCUUACAUAUAAGGACGCUGGUGUUGAUAUCGAUGCUGGGUCGGAACUUGUUCGGAGAAUCGCUAAGAUGGCUCCUGGGAUUGGAGGCUUCGGGGGUCUCUAUCCUCUUGGUGAUAAGUAUCUCGUUGCUGGUACUGAUGGUGUGGGAACUAAACUUAAGCUUGCAUUUGAAACUGGUAUACAUGAUACCAUUGGGAUUGAUCUGGUUGCAAUGAGUGUUAAUGACAUUGUUACUUCUGGGGCGAAGCCAUUAUUUUUUCUUGAUUACUUUGCUACAAGUCGCCUUGAUGUUGAUCUUGCUGAAAAGGUUAUAAAAGGCAUUGUUGAUGGUUGCCAACAAUCAGACUGUGCUCUUCUAGGUGGAGAGACUGCAGAGAUGCCAGAUUUCUAUGCUAAUGGUGAGUAUGAUCUUAGUGGUUUCGCGGUUGGUAUUGUAAACAAAGAUUCAGUUAUAGAUGGAAAAAGCAUUGUGGCUGGAGACGUACUCAUCGGCUUGCCUUCUAGCGGAGUUCAUUCCAACGGUUUCUCUCUUGUAAGAAGGGUUCUGGCUCAUAGUGGAUUGUCUUUGAAGGACAAACUUCCUGGGGAAGGUGUAACAUUAGGCGAAGCUUUGAUGGCACCAACUGUGAUAUACGUUAAGCAGGUACUUGAUUUGAUUAGCAAAGGAGGUGUAAAGGGGAUAGCACAUGUCACAGGUGGUGGGUUUACUGACAACAUACCACGAGUGUUUCCGAAAGGCCUUGGUGCUGUUAUUGACAUGGAUUCCUGGGAGAUUCCUGCUGUUUUCAAAUGGAUCCAAGAGGCGGGAAGAGUAGAAGAUGGCGAGAUGAGGCGAACUUUCAACAUGGGCAUUGGGAUGGUUUUAGUUGUGACUCCAGAAGCAUCCCACAGAAUUCUCGAGGAAACUGCUAAUGGAGCAUACAAGGCUUAUCGCAUAGGAGAAGUGGUAAAGGGUGAAGGAGUGAGUUACUCUUGACUGCUGGAUAGUUGUCAAUUUAUGGAGCUGAGAUAUGACGCAGCUCACCAUUUUCCUGCAACUUCAACACAGAAAUUUUGAAGAUUUGUAUUUUUAUUUGCUCUGUUGUCCCCUUAACUUGGGCGUCAAAUUAUGCGUCAACUGUAUUGAUAGUGCAAAUAAAGAAUUUUUAAUUAAAUUACAUUUCUGAAUCAAAUGACUUGUUAGUGUCCCCUAAAAUAAAAUGUUUUACAAGACAUCAAAUUAGCUUAUAACACAUCAAUACUACAAAUAA